AAGCCGAGCCGCCGGACGGUGGGGCUGGGCCACCUCCCGCAGCAGGUGGGGCGAGCGUGGCCGCGAGACUCUGUCCUCACCCUCGCGGGACGUGUCGGUCGCAGGACACCACACGCAAAAAUCACCUUUUUCGUGCUCCAGCAGGCGCUUCUCCUCUGCAGUGCCAUCCUGCCUUGGAGCCAACGGACUGUGAACUAAAAUGUCAAUGAACCGUGAACCAAAAUAAACCUUUCGUCCUUUAAACGAACCAAAACCAUGACGCUGUGUGUGUGAGCACCACUGCUGUGUUCUCUCCCUCGAUGGACACACUGGGUAACUGACCACGGCCACCCCACAAGGAAGUGCUAUGCAAGGAUUUGCACCUGGGGACUGGAGGCCACCUCUACAGCUGCACUGAACAUGAGAGGCAGACAAGUCUUAACUCCAGUGCACAUCAAAUUAGAUGGGUGCUUGGUAAACACUAUCAUUUCACCUGAUGUAACUGUAAUAACAACAGUGAUGAUGGCUGGUCUGUUAAAAUAACCUAUGAUUUUUGGGAAAACAUUUAUUUUAUAAACUUUCCUGUCCCCACCCAACUACAAGUUUUGUUUCAUAGAAGGGAGGCAAUUUAGAGAGAGGAGGGAAUGGGAGAAAGUGAAGCUGAAGUCAGGGAGAGAAAGGAACAGAGAUGCCACUCUGUUAAGGAAGAUUAUUCCCAUCCCCUCCCCAGCUUCUUGUUGCUUCUUCAUCUUCUUUUUUUUUUCCUGGUAUUGGGAAUCAAACUUGGGUCCUUGAGCUUGCAAGUCAGGCAGCAGAUUGUUGCUUCUUUUUGAAGGAUAAGCAAGGGUGCUUUGUCUCUUCAGUUUUAUCUUUUCUUUGUAUCUGAGAUGACCUCCUAAGACUUCUACAAUAGGGCCCCUGUUUCUAGCUAAGUGCUUUACAAGUCAGAGCAAAAAGGAAUCUUUCCUGUAAACAUCCUCUGGGUCACUCCCGGAAAAGGUGAGAAGCAACCACUGCGUCCUGUCUUUAUUCUGAGUCCUGGAGCAAAUAACACAAUUUUCUGUUCCUCUCAGAUUUCUUGGGGCCAAAAAGAGCACGGUAUUGAAAAUGCUGCAGGAAACAUCCUCCCAUUAAGGUUGUUCUGUCUUCAGGGUAAGAAUCUCUGGCUUAGAGAACUCAUUCACAACUUGCCUUCCAUGGAGAUGUUGUGGACGCAUGUGCACUUUGCCUGGUGCUUUGGAAGUGCUACUGACUGAUUCCCACCUCCUCAGAGGGGUGCUGUCCUUAAUCCAAAGGCAACCCUGCCCAGUUUUCUGUCUCCUUGCCCAGUUUCCUAUCUUGAUUUCCCUAUUUCUGACUUCAGUGCAAUUAUCACCCAGCUGGCCAAACCUCAGGGUCACCUCUGCUGACCUCACUCUCACCUCUAAUCCCAUCAAUCAUCAAAUACCAAGAGAUUUCCUUCCAAUCAACGCCCACACUCAUUCUGUUUUUCUUUACCGACACUUUGUUCUAGGCCCUUCUCAUCUUGGGUCUCUGGCAUUACUAUUGCUUCCUGGCUGGGUUCCUUGCCUUUAGAAUUUUCUCCCUUCUAGAUAUGGGUUUGUUAUUUAGCUAUAUAAAUCAUAAACCUUGAUUGCAUAGACAGAUCCCCUUCAACUGCUGAUACCUAAUUGUGUUGUUGCUACUUUAUAUUCUCAACCUGAUUUACUCCUUGUCCAUUUUGCACUCAGGUGCCAGAUGAAUGUGUUUUUAAAAAUAGACUAUAGUUUUAGGCAGUUUUAGGAUACACAAAACUGAACAGAAAGAACAGUGUUCCUGUGCACGUCUGUCCUCCAUGUGCGCAACCUCUCACUAUGAACACCAGGAACCCAAGGAGUACAUUUGCUAUAAUUGAUAAAGCAGUAGUAAGACAUCAUUAUCAUCCAAAGCUCAGAGUUUGCCUUAAGAUUUUUUAAAAAUACUGCUCCUUCAUGGCAUGUUUCUGCCUUAAAACUGCCAGUUAAAAUCUUGCCUAUUAGGCCAGGAUUGUAGUCCAGUGACACCUCACCUGUCUCGCAAGCACAAGGUCCUGAGUUCAAUCCCCCGUCCCAAAAAAAAAAAAAAAAAAAAAAAAAAAAAGUUGCCAAGCUGACUACUUCUCUACACCCUAAUUCUAUAUUGGAUAUAAGCCUCUCCGUAUCUGCCCCAAUUUUCUUUUUCAACCCUUCCAAUAAUCAUUCAUCCACACUCCCCGCAGCAGGCGGUCACCACUGUCAUAUCCAUGAGCCUGGCUUUAAUCACACUAUCUCCACAGAGUGUGAUUCAGUUCAAGUUACAAUUGCUUUGGAAGGUAUUUGGAAGACAGCUAUGCUCACCACUAUACCACCAAAGCAGACCUCAGGCAGGCAUUUGGGGAUGAUUCCACAGCCUCUUCUUGUUUCUACCACCUGCUUAGCACUAAUCACGAGUGCCUUAAGCCACAUGUUGCACUGUUGAUUCUUCAUAUAACUUAUUGUGCACAUAUGUUAUUUCCUCAAGUAGAAGGCAAGCUUUAUAAGGAACUAGUAAGAGGACCACACCUUCUACUCUCCAGCAAGGUCCUACACAUAGAAAAUGUUCCAUAAAUAUUUGCUGAAUGAAUGAAUUAGCCUGGAGCAGGCUUUCCAAGGCUGCGGUAACCAAGAGAUCUCUUCUUAAUGGGGUAUAACCACCCCAUCCUGAGGCAAUUUCUUUCAGCAGUUUUCUUUUAAAAGAGUUAACCGGUACAAAUUGCUUGGCUUUUGAGUGAAAUUUGAAAAAAAAAAAUGAUAUGAAAAGUAAACACUUUCUUCCUCAAGGCAGUAGCAAGCCCAAACAGAGAAACAAGACUCAAACACAUCUCUUAUAGCUUGUCAUUUCAUUGAACCUAGCCAUGUCAGGCUUUGUUGGUAGUCAUGCACACAGUUUGUGCCUCUUGCUUGACUUAGCUUGGUAAGGUGGUUGGCUUUCACCCAUGUGCCUAAAGCCUCCACGUUGCUCAUGUUUCUUUCCCUCCACCUGGGUGAUUCAAAAGGGGAAGGGAAGGGAAGGGAGGGGAGGGGAGGGGAAAGGAAGCAAGGGGAAGAAAGGGGAAGGGAAGGGAAAGAGGGAAAAGAAGAGAAGGGAAGGGAAGAAACUUAACAUCUUCCUGGUCAACUUUUGGUUUUAGAUUCUGCAGGUGAUGUAGACCAAUGCAGAAAAGUAUAUUUGUAUUUAAAACAUUUUUUCACUCAUUUUUAAAACAUUUUUUAAUCAUCUCCCCCAAAAUGUAAAUAAGCCCAUAUCCUUGCUUAAAGCAUGUAUUGAGUGCAAUUCCAUUGAAAAGGUAUUAAUUGAAGACUUAGAGAAUGCCAGACCUCGUUCUAGAUGUUGGCGACAUAUCAGGAAACAAAGCAGACAAAAAUGCUUGCCUUCUUGAAGCUUAUGCCCUAGAAAGACAAACAUGAAGCAUCCUGAAUUGCACAUUAUUGCUAUAUUAGAAGGCGAUAGAUGCAGUGGAAACUACUGUAAGCGGAGUGAGGGGUAUGCUAGAGUUUAGAGGAGACGGGCAGGGUUCGCCUCACUGAGAAGGUGGCCGGCGCACAGGCCUAGAGGAGGUGGGAAGGGUGACCAUGAGACUGUCUGGGAGAAGAGGAAAUGCCUUUCUUCAGCAUGACCUCACCUGAGUGCCUUGUCACCUCCUUGGUGCACCCUGGCCUUCUUCAGCCACCUGGCCAUCACUUUCUCACCUCCGUCUCUGCACACACCAGUUCAUCAACUCUGUAUUUUCUUUUCCUGUUUCUUGACCAGUUCCUCAUUCUUCAGGUUUCAAUCUAAACACCACCUUCUCAAGUGGCUUUCUUUGCCCCCUAUUAUAAGUUAGAGAACCUCCCACAAUUUGUCUUAUAGGCGUAAAUACUGUUCAAAUGAAAGAUAAAAAAUACUGUUCAAAUGAAAGAACUCACCAAAAGGGUCCAAAAGAGAAGAGAUUUUUGAGGCCAAAGAUGUUGACUUGUUCACUUAUUGCCAAUCACAUUGUUGAAUUAUUUGGUAGACUUCAUUUUCACAAAUGAGCUUCAUAAUCAAGGGGGACAGAAUGAUCAAGUUAUGCUUUACUUAAGCUUAAGUUCAUAUUACCAUAAAUAAGAUGAAAAAAAAAGUAUGAAGUGUGAAAUUGUGUUAUGGGAAUUGAAUCCUCUCUUGCUUCCCUUUUCCGGCAGUUUCCACUAGGUGAAGAGGACUUGGUUUCAGCCCUCGGCCCAGAUGGGCCCUUCUCAGGACUGUGUUUCACUAAGCAAAGGUCAAAUGGAAUCUUACUAAUUUCAUAUGAACCCUGGUUUUCUAGCAGAAGAGUCCUCUCCAAGACAGUGUGUUUACUUUUGUUCCUUGAGUCAAAGGCCAGUAUUUCUUUAAUUUCCUCUGUGCCUCUGUCAAAUUCACAUUAAAAAUAACUUUUAUUUUGAGGGUUUGUUAUCUAAGGAGUCACUGCCUAUCAAAUUCUCAAUUAUCUGGAUUAAUUAAAACAUCUUCCAACCCCCAAGAUACAUGUGGUAAUAUCUUCUAAUGGGAAUCAAAAUGUGGCACCUUAGCAUUUGAGAAAAUGGCAGAAACAGAAAUGUUACCCUCACCCUUCUCUGAAGCUGGCCAUAAAAUCCUUCAUUCCAGAGGUGCCCAUGCUAUAUCCCCAGAAAAGAAGCACUUACUUCUGAAGACACAAAUAAUCUGAACAAACAGGUCUUGCUAAGCUCCCCCGAGUUUAUUACCAUGAGAUCAUAUCCCUUUUUCCAAUCAUGAUUUGAUAUGACUAUCUGUUUUUUUAUAUCCACUUCUAAAUGUUGUUGUCAUGCCAUGUAAAACUUACAUUAAAUAAAUCGUAUGCUUUUCUCCUAUUAACCUGUUUUUUUGUUAUAGGUGUGUUGCCAUGAUGGGCGAGAAAAAUAGUUUUUUCUUCCCCCAAACAAGAACAGGUUUUCUUACUGUGAUUUGCUUAAGAAACGCCAUUAGAAUGAUUUUAUUAAUGUAAAAAUAUCUGUUUCAGCCCUGCCUAAUUUCAAAAUGUUUCUUAGGUGACAUAUAAAUCAUGAAAUAUAACUGAAACAAAAGAAAUACAACAGAACAAGCAAGCAAGAGCAAGAAGGUGAAGUGAAGCAAGAAAUACAGCCUCUACAAGGAGAUUCCAGCCAUAAGAAUUCAAGCAAUUACCAAAGAGAGGCUCAGAGAAACGAAGAAUUAGAUGAGUUAAAGGACUCACGAUGCUUUGUUUUUUUUCUUUUAUUGAGUUUAUUGGUACAUUUCAGGUAUACAGUACAGU
Molecule: long non-coding RNA, 5266 nt
Organism: Fukomys damarensis (Damara mole-rat)
Lineage: Eukaryota; Metazoa; Chordata; Mammalia; Rodentia; Bathyergidae
Exons: 3
Source: RefSeq, a predicted model, not a curated record